ACGGAGAAUUGCUAGCUUGCUAAUAAUUCUCUAGUGGCGCACGGGUGAGUAACACGUGAGUACCUGCCCCCAAGAGUGGGAUAGCCCCGGGAAACUGGGAUUAAUACCGCAUAAAGCAAUAAAGCAGCAAUGCGCUUGGGGAUGGGCUCGCGUCCUAUUAGUUAGUUGGUGAGGUAACGGCUCACCAAGGCGAUGACGGGUAGCCGGUCUGAGAGGAUGUCCGGCCACACUGGAACUGAGACACGGUCCAGACACCUACGGGUGGCAGCAGUCGAGAAUCAUUCACAAUGGGGGAAACCCUGAUGGUGCGACGCCGCGUGGGGGAUAAGGUCUUCGGAUUGUAAACCCCUGUCAUGUGGGACAUUAAAAGAUAGUACCACAAGAGGAAGAGACGGCUAACUCUGUGCCAGCAGCCGCGGUAAUACAGAGGUCUCAAGCGUUGUUCGGAAUCACUGGGCGUAAAGCGUGCGUAGGCGGUUUCGUAAGUCGUGUGUGAAAGGCGGGGGCUCAACCCCCGGACUGCACAUGAUACUGCGAGACUAGAGUAAUGGAGGGGGAACCGGAAUUCUCGGUGUAGCAGUGAAAUGCGUAGAUAUCGAGAGGAACACUCGUGGCGAAGGCGGGUUCCUGGACAUUAACUGACGCUG
RNAcentral lists this ribosomal RNA (647 nucleotides) under uncultured bacterium. Its description in RNAcentral is "bacterial SSU rRNA". It matches the Rfam family "Bacterial small subunit ribosomal RNA", at positions 66 to 748 of the family's 1533-position model. The record is from RNAcentral.